Long non-coding RNA from Pundamilia nyererei, 1132 nucleotides. RefSeq lists it as uncharacterized. Lineage: Eukaryota; Metazoa; Chordata; Actinopteri; Cichliformes; Cichlidae. The transcript has 3 exons. The record is from RefSeq and is a predicted model, not a curated record.
UCCUGCAAAAAAUAAGAGUCACCAAGUUCCCCCAGGCCAAACAGAUCAACCCAUUUUCUCAGGCUCAGCUGUCACGCUCACUCUUCUCCGUACCACUGACACCAACACCACUGACACCAACACCACUGAUACUUGAAGAAGAAUAGGAUCUGCAUCUGUCCGCCCUGCUUUUUCUUUUCUUAUUUUUCCUGUUUGAUUAAAAAAAUGCAAAGUUUGUAUGUGUGUUCACAAGUCUUUUCAUCCUACAAGUUAACAAACUUUCGAUACCUUUCAAAGUUUGUGCUUUUAAAAAAAAAACUGUUGUGGUUUAUUCCUUUGCCAAGUUUAAGUUAAUUCAAGAACCUGGGAACAAACCAGGACAAAAAAGGGCACCUGAAAGUAACGCUUAGAAAUGGAGAGGAGAACAGUAAGAAAAUAGGCUGUUGACUCUUCUUGCAUGACUGGUGAAAGAUUUUUAAACAGUUGCUAAAUAUUUGUUUUGUGUAUUUACCACACAACAUAUACCAGUGAAACUGGGAAUUACAUUACAUUACAGAAAUGGAAAGAACAUUUAAAAAAAAAAGUUUAUUUAUCUAACUGAGGAAUCCGUGGUGCUCCUGGACGUUGGUAAACACAGACACCUCCUAUCAAAUCUCCGUGCUUGCCUGAGUUGCUCCUUGUGAAUCUCCCUGCAAUGUAACUGUACAAACUGUAAAAUGAAAGUAUCAAGGGCAUUAAAAAGUUAUACAUUACAUAAGUCAAAUGUUAAGCUAAAUAACCAGUGUCACUGUUUUUUUUUUUGUUUUCACCUAUGUGAGAUAUAUGGUGCUUACUUUUAUGUGUUGUUGGAUUUUACUUCUUCAAAUGAUUACGUGAUUUUUUAAUUUUUCAGUAGCUUAAUCUGUAGCAUUCUAUAUUUUAUAAGGGUCUUAAUUGUUUAUGCCAUCUGUUUCCUGUCAGACCCAUUUCUAAAAAAAUCUGUCUGUUUCCUGUUCAGAGUACCUUAUACAUCUAACUUAAGACCCUUAUGUAAUGGCAGGACUUUCUCAUCCCAUAAAGGGAUGUUUAAUACUACAGUGUAUCCUUGAUUUCAUCAGAAUCAUACAAAAUGAUAAUUUUCGUUCCAUUGUUUGUUUGUUCUUUCAUUUGUAAC